CGCUUUCAAAAAUCGCCAUGCUAUUAUAAAACAAAAACAAGAUCAAACAGUAAGUAUAGAUCACAAAUUUGAGAUUUUCUGAUGGCAUGGCAAAGAUGUAAUUUCCCUUUUUACCCAUGUUGUGAUUUGUGACUCCAGAUUUAGCUCAAGGAGUGGCACGUGAAAAGGUAGGUUUUUAUCUUCUGAUGUCAUUAAAAUGUGCACCUAACUUUGUUUUGCGCUCAACAGGGCUUGGAACUCUAAGGCAAAUCACUUCAAAAGUUUAAAUUGUGUUGUGUCAUGUGAUUAAUAGCGGUUAAUGGGUGAAUUAUCAAAUCAGACAUCUUUUUCCCUUACCCUCUUUUUCAGACUCCAAGCCUGGAGAAAGGAGGAGCAUCUGUAUUAAAAACUGACCGGACUCCACAAGCUAGGAAGAGAGUGUGAAACGCCCAUGACAGGGAAAAAGUUUCUGAAGGUCAUCGUGGAGCCCCUUCUGGCAAUCGGGGCUGAGGAGCCUCAACUCUCGUUCAGAAUGUGACGCAGACGGUGUCCAUGACUGAGCUGGAGACCUUUGACAUGAUGUCCAAGGAAAUAAAUGACAAACAGGAUGCAAGACUGAAUGACAGAAUGAUUAAGCUCGAUAUUGGUUAAUCAAAAUUUUGGAUGUCCUCCCCCUCACUCUUGAUUGCUUCCAAAUGGAACCUGUUUGGUUUAAUUAAUGUACUGUCAAAGUUACUGACUUUUCAGUUAUUUUUUGCUUGAUUUACAAGAAAAAAAAUCCUCAAUUCAAUUUUGUCUACUCUUAAUUCCACUCUUCUGAGACACUGUUCAUAAUUCCUUGUAUACAGAUUGCAAAGCAGUCUUGUGUUAGGAGGCCACUGAUUUGAAGACCUGCAUGUUUCCAAGACCAUGGACAGGGAUGAUUAGUUUGACAUCUGUACUGUAGAUUAAAAAAAGACAACAGUGAAGGCUUACGAUGUGGUGGCUGCGCUCAAUGUUGAAAUUUUUUUUCUGUUGUCUCUAGACUCUAAACAAAUGACAACGUUCAAUAUGCGUGCUCAUGUGACUCGUGCAGAGGGCCCUCAGGAAGACUGCUCUGAUAGCGCUGGUAAAUAAAAAAAAAAACCUGUCUGCUCGUUCCUGUGCGAUUGCUUCAUGUUCGAAAUGUGCGAUUGACAUGAGAUGCAUCAAGGAAAAACUAUUUUACAGGUAGUCGUUUUUUUUCCCAUAUUGAUAUUUCUUAUCCAGAGUAAUCCCAAGGUCUACAAUGGGUGGUGCCCGAUGUCCAUCGAGUUCAUCUUUGUAGAAGCUGUUGGCGACACGCACAGAUGCCACGGAUGAUGAAACAAGGACCGCAAUGGCUUUAAAAUUAAAACAGGCUCUGAGUAGCAAAGGGGGCUAUCAAAACCCCACAAGAGAGUGAUGUUUAUAUUGUUUCCGCCUUGUGUUUCACCGAGCUGGUUAUUUUGUUUAUUUGAUAUGUCCUACAUAAAGUAUGUAUAUAUUUAUAUUGUAACUUAGUAGUUUUGUUCUAUUAAAUAGCCCCCAUUUUUUAACAGUGUAUGUAUAUUUUUACAUUUUUAAACAUAUGAUUUAAAAACAUUGCACAUUUAUAUUUGUGAUGGUUGGAUAAUGUUUGAAAUUUUUUUAAAUUUAGGUUCAAUUAUCGUUUUGGUUAAUUUUAACAUCAAAAGGUGUAUUUAUAUCUGCAGCUAACAUAAGUAUGACUGUUACUGAAACCUAUUUUUAU
Long non-coding RNA from Syngnathus acus (greater pipefish), 1729 nucleotides. RefSeq lists it as uncharacterized. The record is from RefSeq and is a predicted model, not a curated record. NCBI's taxonomy places the organism in Eukaryota, Metazoa, Chordata, Actinopteri, Syngnathiformes, Syngnathidae. The transcript is spliced from 4 exons.